Molecule: ribosomal RNA, 482 nt
Filed under: uncultured bacterium
Lineage: Bacteria
Description: partial 16S ribosomal RNA
Rfam family: Bacterial small subunit ribosomal RNA
Source: RNAcentral
GAUGAACGCUAGCGGCAGGCCUAAUACAUGCAAGUCGGACGGGAUUCAGGAGCUUGCUUCUGAUGAGAGUGGCGCACGGGUGCGUAACACGUAUGUAACCUACCUUUAUCAGGGGGAUAGCCUCUCGAAAGAGAGAUUAAGCCCGCAUAAAAUCACAGCACAGCAUUGUGUAAUGAUCAAAUAUUUAUAGGAUAAAGAUGGGCAUGCGGAACAUUAGCUAGAUGGCGGGGUAACGGCCCACCAUGGCGACGAUGUUUAGGGGAUCUGAGAGGAUGGCCCCCCACACUGGUACUGAGACACGGACCAGACUCCUACGGGAGGCAGCAGUAAGGAAUAUUGGGCAAUGGGCGGAAGCCUGAACCAGCCAUGCCGCGUGCAGGAAGACGGCCCUACGGGUUGUAAACUGCUUUUAUACGGGAAUAAACCCAGAUACGUGUACCUGGCUGAAUGUACUGUAAGAAUAAGGAUCGGCUAACUCCGUG